AUUGCCAUCUUACUGGGCAGCAUUGGAUUUUGUCUAUGUUUCUAAUACUGCCUGGUAAUGAUGAUUAU
This is a non-coding RNA of Xenopus tropicalis (tropical clawed frog), 68 nucleotides long. Lineage: Eukaryota; Metazoa; Chordata; Amphibia; Anura; Pipidae. The record is from Rfam.